RNAcentral lists this ribosomal RNA (458 nucleotides) under uncultured bacterium. RNAcentral describes it as "bacterial SSU rRNA". It matches the Rfam family "Bacterial small subunit ribosomal RNA", at positions 29 to 506 of the family's 1533-position model. The record is from RNAcentral.
GUGAACGCUGGCGGCGUGCCUAACACAUGCAAGUCGAACGAUGAUUAAGAGCUUGCUCUUAUGAUUAGUGGCGCACGGGUGAGUAUACCAUAGAUAAUGUACCCCUUAGUUCGGGAUAGCCACUGGAAACGGUGAUUAAUACCGGAUACUCCUUCUCAUUAUAAGAUGAGUCGGGAAAGUUUUUUCGCUAAGGGAUCAGUCUAUGUCCUAUCAGCUAGUUGGUGAGGUAAUGGCUCACCAAGGCUAUGACGGGUAUCUGGUUUGAGAGGAUGAUCAGACACACUGGAACUGAGACACGGUCCAGACUCCUACGGGAGGCAGCAGUGAGGAAUAUUGCACAAUGGAGGAAACUCUGAUGCAGCAACGCCGCGUGGAGGAUGACGCAUUUCGGUGUGUAAACUCCUUUUAUUAGGGAAGAUAAUGACGGUACCUAAUGAAUAAGCACCGGCUAACUCCGU